GGGUUGUGAGGUUAAGCGACUAAGCGUACACGGUGGAUGCCCUGGCAGUCAGAGGCGAUGAAGGACGUGCUAAUCUGCGAUAAGCGUCGGUAAGGUGAUAUGAACCGUUAUAACCGGCGAUUUCCGAAUGGGGAAACCCAGUGUGUUUCGGCACACUAUCAUUAACUGAAUCCAUAGGUUAAUGAGGCGAACCGGGGGAACUGAAACAUCUAAGUACCCCGAGGAAAAGAAAUCAACCGAGAUUCCCCCAGUAGCGGCGAGCGAACGGGGAGGAGCCCAGAGCCUGAAUCAGUGUGUGUGUUAGUGGAAGCGUCUGGAAAGGCGCAGCGAUACAGGGUGACAGCCCCGUACACAAAAAUGCACAUAUUGUGAGCUCGAUGAGUAGGGCGGGACACGUGGUAUCCUGUCUGAAUAUGGGGGGACCAUCCUCCAAGGCUAAAUACUCCUGACUGACCGAUAGUGAACCAGUACCGUGAGGGAAAGGCGAAAAGAACCCCGGCGAGGGGAGUGAAAAAGAACCUGAAACCGUGUACGUACAAGCAGUGGGAGCCUCUUUAUGGGGUGACUGCGUACCUUUUGUAUAAUGGGUCAGCGACUUAUAUUCUGUAGCAAGGUUAACCGAAUAGGGGAGCCGAAGGGAAACCGAGUCUUAACUGGGCGUUAAGUUGCAGGGUAUAGACCCGAAACCCGGUGAUCUAGCCAUGGGCAGGUUGAAGGUUGGGUAACACUAACUGGAGGACCGAACCGACUAAUGUUGAAAAAUUAGCGGAUGACUUGUGGCUGGGGGUGAAAGGCCAAUCAAACCGGGAGAUAGCUGGUUCUCCCCGAAAGCUAUUUAGGUAGCGCCUCGUGAAUUCAUCUCCGGGGGUAGAGCACUGUUUCGGCAAGGGGGUCAUCCCGACUUACCAACCCGAUGCAAACUGCGAAUACCGGAGAAUGUUAUCACGGGAGACACACGGCGGGUGCUAACGUCCGUCGUGAAGAGGGAAACAACCCAGACCGCCAGCUAAGGUCCCAAAGUCAUGGUUAAGUGGGAAACGAUGUGGGAAGGCCCAGACAGCCAGGAUGUUGGCUUAGAAGCAGCCAUCAUUUAAAGAAAGCGUAAUAGCUCACUGGUCGAGUCGGCCUGCGCGGAAGAUGUAACGGGGCUAAACCAUGCACCGAAGCUGCGGCAGCGACACUAUGUGUUGUUGGGUAGGGGAGCGUUCUGUAAGCCUGUGAAGGUGGCCUGUGAGGGUUGCUGGAGGUAUCAGAAGUGCGAAUGCUGACAUAAGUAACGAUAAAGCGGGUGAAAAGCCCGCUCGCCGGAAGACCAAGGGUUCCUGUCCAACGUUAAUCGGGGCAGGGUGAGUCGACCCCUAAGGCGAGGCCGAAAGGCGUAGUCGAUGGGAAACAGGUUAAUAUUCCUGUACUUGGUGUUACUGCGAAGGGGGGACGGAGAAGGCUAUGUUGGCCGGGCGACGGUUGUCCCGGUUUAAGCGUGUAGGCUGGUUUUCCAGGCAAAUCCGGAAAACCAAGGCUGAGGCGUGAUGACGAGGCACUACGGUGCUGAAGCGACAAAUGCCCUGCUUCCAGGAAAAGCCUCUAAGCAUCAGGUAACAUCAAAUCGUACCCCAAACCGACACAGGUGGUCAGGUAGAGAAUACCAAGGCGCUUGAGAGAACUCGGGUGAAGGAACUAGGCAAAAUGGUGCCGUAACUUCGGGAGAAGGCACGCUGAUAUGUAGGUGAAGCGACUUGCUCGUGGAGCUGAAAUCAGUCGAAGAUACCAGCUGGCUGCAACUGUUUAUUAAAAACACAGCACUGUGCAAACACGAAAGUGGACGUAUACGGUGUGACGCCUGCCCGGUGCCGGAAGGUUAAUUGAUGGGGUUAGCGGUAACGCGAAGCUCUUGAUCGAAGCCCCGGUAAACGGCGGCCGUAACUAUAACGGUCCUAAGGUAGCGAAAUUCCUUGUCGGGUAAGUUCCGACCUGCACGAAUGGCGUAAUGAUGGCCAGGCUGUCUCCACCCGAGACUCAGUGAAAUUGAACUCGCUGUGAAGAUGCAGUGUACCCGCGGCAAGACGGAAAGACCCCGUGAACCUUUACUAUAGCUUGACACUGAACAUUGAGCCUUGAUGUGUAGGAUAGGUGGGAGGCUUUGAAGUGUGGACGCCAGUCUGCAUGGAGCCGACCUUGAAAUACCACCCUUUAAUGUUUGAUGUUCUAACGUUGGCCCGUAAUCCGGGUUGCGGACAGUGUCUGGUGGGUAGUUUGACUGGGGCGGUCUCCUCCUAAAGAGUAACGGAGGAGCACGAAGGUUGGCUAAUCCUGGUCGGACAUCAGGAGGUUAGUGCAAUGGCAUAAGCCAGCUUGACUGCGAGCGUGACGGCGCGAGCAGGUGCGAAAGCAGGUCAUAGUGAUCCGGUGGUUCUGAAUGGAAGGGCCAUCGCUCAACGGAUAAAAGGUACUCCGGGGAUAACAGGCUGAUACCGCCCAAGAGUUCAUAUCGACGGCGGUGUUUGGCACCUCGAUGUCGGCUCAUCACAUCCUGGGGCUGAAGUAGGUCCCAAGGGUAUGGCUGUUCGCCAUUUAAAGUGGUACGCGAGCUGGGUUUAGAACGUCGUGAGACAGUUCGGUCCCUAUCUGCCGUGGGCGCUGGAGAACUGAGGGGGGCUGCUCCUAGUACGAGAGGACCGGAGUGGACGCAUCACUGGUGUUCGGGUUGUCAUGCCAAUGGCACUGCCCGGUAGCUAAAUGCGGAAGAGAUAAGUGCUGAAAGCAUCUAAGCACGAAACUUGCCCCGAGAUGAGUUCUCCCUGAGACUUAGAGUCUCCUGAAGGAACGUUGAAGACGACGACGUUGAUAGGCCGGGUGUGUAAGCGCAGCGAUGCGUUGAGCUAACCGGUACUAAUGAACCGUGAGGCUUAACCUUACAACGCCGAAGCUGUU
Molecule: ribosomal RNA, 2931 nt
Filed under: Escherichia coli RS218
Lineage: Bacteria; Pseudomonadati; Pseudomonadota; Gammaproteobacteria; Enterobacterales; Enterobacteriaceae
Description: bacterial LSU rRNA
Rfam family: Bacterial large subunit ribosomal RNA
Source: RNAcentral